Molecule: small RNA, 510 nt
Filed under: Pan troglodytes (chimpanzee)
Lineage: Eukaryota; Metazoa; Chordata; Mammalia; Primates; Hominidae
Description: processed transcript
Source: RNAcentral
GAAGACACAGCUGCAGGGGGCUCUUAAAGGGAGCUAGAGAGAGAAAGAUGCUGAAAGAUUGGGAGCCCAGUAUUAAAAUCUAGAAAAGGGAGGCUUUUUUAGCAUUCUCAUUUCCAAUUGCUCUAAUUCCUCUAGAAUUUUUUUUUAAUGCUGAAAAGACGAAGCGAAUUCAUUCUGACUUAGUAUUUUUCCCUCCGUUUAACUUUUCAUUGUCCAAAAAGAAGAAUCCACGCGACAAUAGCAACAGAAUAAACUGUAAGAAGGCACGACCAGCCGCGCCGGCCACCUGGCGGGGCCCGAGCCCGCGCCGCCGCCGCCGCCGCCGCCGCGGGAGCCGUUCGCGCCCAGCCUGGGCAGCGCCUUCCACCUGCCCGACGCGCCGCCCGCCGCCGCCGCCGCCGCGCUCUACUACUCCAGCUCCACGCUGCCCGCGCCGCCGCGCGGGGGCUCCCCGCUGGCCGCGCCCCAGGGCGGUUCGCCCACCAAGCUGCAGCGCGGCGGCUCGGCCCC